AACAAAGACGAAUAAAGAAUCAAUAGGAUAGAGUGAAAAAAAUACUUAGUAAUUCUAUCAAAGA
Molecule: transfer RNA, 64 nt
Filed under: Riccardia longispica
Lineage: Eukaryota; Viridiplantae; Streptophyta; Jungermanniopsida; Metzgeriales; Aneuraceae
Description: partial tRNA-Leu
Source: RNAcentral